Molecule: ribosomal RNA, 468 nt
Filed under: uncultured bacterium
Lineage: Bacteria
Description: partial 16S ribosomal RNA
Rfam family: Bacterial small subunit ribosomal RNA
Source: RNAcentral
GACGAACGCUGGCGGCGUGCUUAACACAUGCAAGUCGAACGGAAAGGCCCUGCUUUUGUGGGGUGCUCGAGUGGCGAACGGGUGAGUAACACGUGAGUAACCUGCCCUUGACUUUGGGAUAACUUCAGGAAACUGGGGCUAAUACCGGAUAGGAGCUCCUGCUGCAUGGAGGGGGUUGGAAAGUUUCGGCGGUUGGGGAUGGACUCGCGGCUUAUCAGCUUGUUGGUGGGGUAGUGGCUUACCAAGGCUUUGACGGGUAGCCGGCCUGAGAGGGUGACCGGCCACAUUGGGACUGAGAGACGGCCCAGAGUCCUACAGGAGGCAGCAGUGGGGAAUAUUGCACAAUGGGCGGAAGCCUGAUACAGCAACGCCGCGUUCGGGAUGACGGCCUUCGGGUUGUGAACCGCUUUCGCCUGUGACGAAGCUGGAGUGACGGUAAUGGGUAAAGAAGCACCGGCUAACUACGUG